This is a long non-coding RNA of Populus nigra (black poplar), 1053 nucleotides long. RefSeq lists it as uncharacterized. Lineage: Eukaryota; Viridiplantae; Streptophyta; Magnoliopsida; Malpighiales; Salicaceae. The record is from RefSeq and is a predicted model, not a curated record. The transcript is spliced from 2 exons.
GAUGACGAAACCAGACAGGGUUUUGAACACUGUGUUUGCCUUUAUCUUGACACCCAAGGGAUUUAAAACAUGCUGUGCAUAUCAGUUAACGUAAGGGCUAUUUCACCUACUACUAUGUUUUAGAUAUGCAAGUUAUCCAAGGUCAGUUGAUAUCUCUCAUUGGAAUAAAUGCCAAAUGCUUGUGCAACUCUGAACAUUAGGCAAUUAUGUUGAAUUGUUUAACAUUGUUGUGGAAUUUUUUCCUCUGGGUAAGAGUUUCUGAUUCUGAGCUACUUGAAAAAUUCAGGUUCUUCUGUUUGUAAUAAUAUUUAUGUCCUGGUGGCUAUUCUGGUAUUUGCUUACAAAUUCUCAUAGGCAAAAUGAUUUCCUUUUGUUGCUUGGAAGUACUAAAUCUUGUAGUUGUUUACUGUGCUUAUUUAACAGAAUGGAAUUCAAUAAUUUGAAAUUUUGCUGAUCAUUGUUGUGGAAUUUUGUCCUCUGGGUUUCAUAAAGCUAUUACCUUUUCGAUUUUACAGUGGUUGGCAUUGGAGUUGAGGUGUGUCAUUCCUGUUUUGCUACUGAAUAAGACAUGUUGCAUACCACUGAGCCAAACCAUAAACUUGUUUUUGCAUGGAAUCAGUAGUUCUAUAUAGUAAUUAGAACCUCCCUGUCCAAAUAUAUUGCCUGCUUUCGAGACAGCACAGUUCUGGUCUUAGAAUUCACUGAAAAGGUUUUGGGCUGAUACAAAUCAAGUGUCACCUUUAUUGUGAAUUCGCUUUCUAUCUCUGUGCAUUGUCGUAAACAGGUGAUCCUACCAGACAGGGUUUUGAAGACAGUGUUUGCCUUUAUCAAGACACACAAGCUACUAAGUGAUCAGUAAGCUCUAUAAUUUCUAAUAAAGUGGACUUUUAAAAAAAACUUACUUGUUUGACUCACCCAAACUAGAUCAGAUAACGAGCAAGAUUCUCUACAGAACAAUGAAUGGAUUGUUUGAUGUUAUAGCUAGGGAUCCAUUUCCAUGUUACAAGUUGUAGACUGUCAAUGCUGGUUGCAAAAUAUGAUCUAUUAAUGCAA